CGUUGCACCGUUCGGAAUUCGGGCAUUGCACAACUAUCGAUGACCGGUUUCGUCGUUCAACAC
RNAcentral lists this microRNA precursor (63 nucleotides) under Fasciola hepatica (liver fluke). Its description in RNAcentral is "microRNA fhe-mir-11585 precursor". Lineage: Eukaryota; Metazoa; Platyhelminthes; Trematoda; Plagiorchiida; Fasciolidae. The record is from miRBase by way of RNAcentral.